GGUUUUGGUCCCGCUAUUCGGAGGUUCGAAUUCUUCCGUCCCAG
Molecule: transfer RNA, 44 nt
Filed under: Modiola caroliniana
Lineage: Eukaryota; Viridiplantae; Streptophyta; Magnoliopsida; Malvales; Malvaceae
Description: partial tRNA-Gln
Source: RNAcentral